AGUGGUUCUAGAAUCUGGCUAUACUUUUUAAUCAUAUGAAGAAUUCUCAAAGGCUAAAAUAAGAAGUAUACAACUGACCAAGGUGCAAAGUUUGUUUCUUCUCUCAGUCUCCAAAGACUUUGCCUCUGACGUGGUCUACAUCUUCCUUCCCCAGCUCCACAUAGUGACUGCUAAGAAAGAUGAUCUACAUUCCAAAGGACUGGAUACCAGAUGCCCUGCAAAAAAAGUCUAUGUUUGUUGGGCAUUGAGAACACAUGAGCUUCAGGGAUACAAUUGUGUCCAGAAUUGGUGGGUUCUUGGUCUCCCUGACUUCAAGAAUGAAGCCACAGACCCUCACGGAAUAGAAUUUUUGAAGGGGGAGCUGAUUCAGGUUAUGCUUUAGGUUCUCUUUAAAAUGGAAAUGCGUCUUUGGAAAUUUUCCACAUAAUCGUCAUCAGAAGCCUCCUUGGUUCCAGCUGCACUAAUUAGAGGUAUGCACAUGGAGGUUGCAAUGUAAGGAGAGGGGAAAGGAACAUUAAUGACCCAGACUGUGAUAUCACUUGUGAGAACUUCUUUCCACUGAUCUGACACCAAUUUAAGUUCAGCUUUCAAUUCUGUCUUUGAAGCCUGGAUCAAGCAGUGUCAUGGACCCAUGUCUUUUGUGUUACAUAGUCAUGUUUUCUCCUAAAUUGUUAUGGACUACCUGUGAAAGAAGGCAUCCGCCCUACAACUGUCAAUGAACCCUGUUUUAAACUAAUUUUUCAUCUGAUGUAAAAUCUACUGCAGAAACUUUUGUGCCUUUUUAGUAGCUUGGGACAGGACACAUCAUAAGGGGAAAAUACUGCCUUGGAACUAAUAAACAAUGACUAGAAAAUUCA
This 857-nucleotide long non-coding RNA is filed under the name Homo sapiens (human). Its description in RNAcentral is "HSALNT0373522". Lineage: Eukaryota; Metazoa; Chordata; Mammalia; Primates; Hominidae. The record is from RNAcentral.